This is a non-coding RNA of Anopheles dirus, 46 nucleotides long. The record is from Rfam. Lineage: Eukaryota; Metazoa; Arthropoda; Insecta; Diptera; Culicidae.
CAAUCGGCUCUUUUCAGAGCCACCGCACAAUCUCUACGGCUUAACA